CGCGCGCGGUGCUUGUCCUCGGUGCUGGGGGGGUGGGAGUGAGCUGGCGGUUGGCGCGCGCCGGCCCCGCGGGGAUAAGGAAAACAUCCGCCGGAGGCCGGGCCCGGCCGGGCGGUGCUCCAGGACUCCAGGGCAGGUGCGCGGCUGCUGAGGAAGUGAGCACAUUCCGGCCCCCCGGCCUGCAGGCCGGCCGGCCCUCCGGAUUCUAACCCUAGGAGCUGAAAACUGGAGGCCCUAAUUCCCUGGAAUGCCCUUAUUUGAAGCAGGCUUUUCUGAGUCCUCAAAUAUAUUAGAAUACAUCACCAGGCAGGUUCUCUUGGUGUUCUGUCCCAUCUGACGUGAAGCAAGAAGAUCACAAACAUUUUGAUUUGGUGUAGACCAAGCAGAAUGCGGACAGAUGAAGAAAUGCUUCCAGAGGAGAGGUUAAGUGACUUGUCCAUACAUCGUACAUAGCCAAGAUGAGAUUCUGAUACCAAAUCCAUUGUUUUGUGUGACAUUCAGGAAAUUAGGUAACUUCUGUUCUUGUGGUAGGUUUAUAGACAGGCUUUUGACGAAUGUCCAGAACCCAUCAUCCUUGGCAUUAGAUUGUAUUCUCCUGUGUAGCAGAGACUGUCACUUUUGGGCAGGCACACCACCUGGCACAAAAUCUUGUUUAGCAGUACUUAAUAAAUGCGAUUUGCUUAAACUCUGCCUACAGCUAUGUUUAUCUCAAGCUGUUUCUUUCCCUCUGGGUUGUCUCUUCCUCCUUUUCCCUGUCAUCCAAGAUGAGACAGAUUUGGGUUGUUGUGUUUUGUUUUGUUUUUUCCUUGUUAAUGGAAUACUAACACAACUUUAUAGUUUUGUCUUUGAUUACUGUACACCAGAUUUGUCAUAUAUCUUUCUUACAUCCUCCACAGUUCGGGGUGCCUG
Long non-coding RNA from Dromiciops gliroides (monito del monte), 909 nucleotides. RefSeq lists it as uncharacterized. The record is from RefSeq and is a predicted model, not a curated record. The transcript has 4 exons. Lineage: Eukaryota; Metazoa; Chordata; Mammalia; Microbiotheria; Microbiotheriidae.